This 938-nucleotide ribosomal RNA is filed under the name Amanita sp. 'cruentilemurum'. Its description in RNAcentral is "partial large subunit ribosomal RNA". It matches the Rfam family "Eukaryotic large subunit ribosomal RNA", at positions 37 to 962 of the family's 3401-position model. Lineage: Eukaryota; Fungi; Basidiomycota; Agaricomycetes; Agaricales; Amanitaceae. The record is from RNAcentral.
AGCAUAUCAAUAAGCGGAGGAAAAGAAACUAACAAGGAUUCCCUUAGUAACUGCGAGUGAAGAGGGAAAAGCUCAAAUUUAAAAUCUGGCAGUGUUUCACUGUCCGAGUUGUAACCUAGAGAAGUGUAACCUGCGCUGGACCGUGUAUAAGUCUCCUGGAAUGGAGCAUCACAGAGGGUGAGAAUCCCGUCUUUGACAUGGACCACCAGUGCAUUGUGGUUGUGCUCUCAACGAGUCGAGUUGUUUGGGAAUGCAGCUCUAAAUGGGUGGUAAAUUCCAUCUAAAGCUAAAUAUUGGCGAGAGACCGAUAGCGAACAAGUACCGUGAGGGAAAGAUGAAAAGAACUUUGGAAAGAGAGUUAAACAGUAUGUGAAAUUGUUGAAAGGGAAACGUUUGAAGUCAGUCGCGUUGGUUGGGGAUCAGCCUGACAUUGUUGGGUUUACUUCCUGGUCGACGGGCCAACAUCAGUUUUGACUGCCAGAAAAAGGCCAAAGGAAUGUGGCACCUUUGGGUGUGUUAUAGCCCUUGGUCGUAUAUGGUGGUUGGGACUGAGGAAAGCAGCGUGCCGAAAGGCCGGGUUUCGACCACGUUCACGCUGAGGAUGUUGGCAUAAUGGCUUUAAGCGACCCGUCUUGAAACACGGACCAAGGAGUCUAACAUGCAUGCGAGUGUUUGGGUGGAAAACCCUUACGCGUAAUGAAAGUGAAAGUUGAGAUCCCUGUCGCGGGGAGCAUCGACGCCCGGACCAGAACUUUUGGGACGGAUCUGCGGUAGAGCACGUAUGUUGGGACCCGAAAGAUGGUGAACUAUGCCUGAAUAGGGUGAAGCCAGAGGAAACUCUGGUGGAGGCUCGUAGCGAUUCUGACGUGCAAAUCGAUCGUCAAAUUUGGGUAUAGGGGCGAAAGACUAAUCGAACCAUCUAGUAGCUGGUUCCUGCC